RNAcentral lists this transfer RNA (73 nucleotides) under Scincella tsinlingensis. RNAcentral describes it as "tRNA-Asn". The record is from RNAcentral. Lineage: Eukaryota; Metazoa; Chordata; Lepidosauria; Squamata; Scincidae.
CGGACAGAAGCCCGCUGGAUUGGGUAUUUAGCUGUUAAUUAAAAUUUUACGGGAUCAAGGCCCGUCUGUCUAG